Pan troglodytes (chimpanzee) is the source of this 1138-nucleotide long non-coding RNA. RefSeq lists it as uncharacterized. The transcript is spliced from 2 exons. The record is from RefSeq and is a predicted model, not a curated record. Lineage: Eukaryota; Metazoa; Chordata; Mammalia; Primates; Hominidae.
GAAGUACAAGGGAGACAAAAGCAGGCAGAAGAAAGAGCCUUUUGAGAGGGGGGAAAAGAGGCCAGUACCCUGGGGACUGGCACAGUUAUACUUGCUGUGUAAGGUGGGCAUUAGCUAGCUCUGCUGAGAUAUCUUUCCUGCGUUCCACAUUUAAUUAGCAAUCAUUUGUACUUAUCUUUCAUCUUUUACUCAAUCACAUCAAACGGUCAAUAUCAUCUUGAGCAGGAAGAAGAGGUAGGGAGAAAUUGUCACUGGCCAGAGACUUUCUCGUCUACUUAGUACAGAACCAAGAAUGUUUGUGUCAUCACAGGGCACCGACUUAGUACAGAACCAAGAAUGUUUGUGUCAUCACAGGGCACCAGGUGAAUGUAACUGACUCUCAUGUGGUCCUCCCCAGUCUGUCUGUGGUCCCCUGGUCACCAAACUGCCUUCUGUGAUUCAGUGAAAUGCCUGGUGUGCUAGGUACAUUGUUCUGGGAUUUGACUAAUAAUUAAUAAGCAGGGCACAACUAGGCAAUUGUGAAGGAAUGAAGUUCCUCAGCUCGCAGCUUGUAAGGGCCUGGCUCCCAGGGAACUAAGGGAGUCCUGGGCUCUCGGGGAGAGCUCCUUUCCCUGAGCAAAGCUCCUUUGUUCCAGGUGGUUUGGUGUGCUGGGCACAACCACACCCUCCCUGCGCCUCUUAUGGCUUCCAGGACUCCCACCAUUCAGGACUCAUUUUUUGGCUCUAGCACAAUUGUUUUGAACUGAAGGAAUCAGAGACUUAGGGCAACUUCUGGAAGUUUCUACCCAGUUGGCAAAGAAAUCUUCUCAAUCCCCUACUUUCCCUAAACUAAGAGGACCAGAAAGUCUGCAGGCCCCAUGAUAUUCUACAUCUGCUGACACCAGGGAAACUCCACUACAAGGGAGUUGCAGUCUGUCACUCAACUUGCUGAGGACCAACUCUCGGGGGCACAGUCCCUACCUGCAAGCUGCUUGGAUCUCUUUGACAGUGGCAUCUGCAAACAGACCGAUCUGUUCCAGCUUCUCUGGCUCUCCAAGAGGAGGGAAUCAAUUAGGAGGCAACUGCAUUCAGCUGAACUUUCCCAGGCCUUCCUCAUCACCACAGCAGAACUUAAUAAAAGGUUCACUUUUUUCGGAAA